RNAcentral lists this ribosomal RNA (688 nucleotides) under uncultured Enterobacter sp. RNAcentral's name for it is "bacterial SSU rRNA". It matches the Rfam family "Bacterial small subunit ribosomal RNA", at positions 63 to 742 of the family's 1533-position model. Lineage: Bacteria; Pseudomonadati; Pseudomonadota; Gammaproteobacteria; Enterobacterales; Enterobacteriaceae. The record is from RNAcentral.
CGAACGGUAGCACAGAGAGCUUGCUCUCGGGGGACGAGUGGCGGACGGGGGAGUAAUGUCUGGGAAACUGCCUGAUGGAGGGGGAUAACUACUGGAAACGGUAGCUAGUACCGCAUAACGUCGCAAGACCAAAGAGGGGGACCUUCGGGCCUCUUGCCAUCAGAUGUGCCCAGAUGGGAUUAGCUAGUAGGGGGGGUAACGGCUCACCUAGGCGACGAUCCCUAGCUGGUCUGAGAGGAUGACCAGCCACACUGGAACUGAGACACGGUCCAGACUCCUACGGGAGGCAGCAGUGGGGAAUAUUGCACAAUGGGCGCAAGCCUGAUGCAGCCAUGCCGCGUGUAUGAAGAAGGCCUUCGGGUUUUAAAGUACUUUCAGCGGGGAGGAAGGGGUUUUGGUUAAUAACCGCAGCAAUUGACGUUACCCGCAGAAGAAGCACCGGCUAACUCCGUGCCAGCAGCCGCGGUAAUACGGAGGGGGCAAGCGUUAAUCGGAAUUACUGGGCGUAAAGCGCACGCAGGCGGUCUGUCAAGUCGGAUGUGAAAUCCCCGGGCUCAACCUGGGAACUGCAUUCGAAACUGGCAGGCUAGAGUCUUUUAGAGGGGGGUAGAAUUCCAGGGGUAGCGGGGAAAUGCGUAGAGAUCUGGAGGAAUACCGGGGGCGAAGGCGGCCCCCUGGACAAAGACUG